This 556-nucleotide ribosomal RNA is filed under the name Ascomycota sp. Its description in RNAcentral is "partial large subunit ribosomal RNA". It matches the Rfam family "Eukaryotic large subunit ribosomal RNA", at positions 38 to 600 of the family's 3401-position model. Lineage: Eukaryota; Fungi; Ascomycota. The record is from RNAcentral.
GCAUAUCAAUAAGCGGAGGAAAAGAAACCAACAGGGAUUGCCCUAGUAACGGCGAGUGAAGCGGCAACAGCUCAAAUUUGAAAUCUGGCCCUAGGGUCCGAGUUGUAAUUUGUAGAGGAUGCUUUUGGGCAGUCUUCCGGUCUAAGUUCCUUGGAACAGGACGUCAUAGAGGGUGAGAAUCCCGUAUGUGACCGGCUAGGCACCCUCCGUAAAGCUCCUUCGACGAGUCGGGUUGUUUGGGAAUGCAGCCCUAAAUUGGAGGUAAAUUUCUUCUAAAGCUAAAUACCGGCCAGAGACCGAUAGCGCACAAGUAGAGUGAUCGAAAGAUGAAAAGCACUUUGGAAAGAGAGUUAAAAAGCACGUGAAAUUGUUGAAAGGGAAGCGCUUGCAAUCAGACUCGACUGCGGCCGUUCAGCCUGUCUUCUGACAGGUCCACUCGGUCGCAGCCGGCCCAAAAUCAGUUUCGGCGGUCGGACAAAGGUUGGUGGAAUGUAGCUCCCCCGGGAGUGUUAUAGCCACCGGCGCAAUGCGGCCAGCCGGGACUGAGGUCGCGCUC